UACGGAGGGUGCGAGCGUUACUCGGAAUCACUGGGCGUAAAGCGCGCGUAGGCGGCUUUUCAAGUCAGGGGUGAAAUCCCACGGCCCAACCGUGGAACUGCCUUUGAAACUGUAGAGCUUGAGUGUCGGAGAGGGUGGCGGAAUUCCAGGUGUAGGAGUGAAAUCCGUAGAUAUCUGGAGGAACACCGGUGGCGAAGGCGGCCACCUGGACGACAACUGACGCUGAGGUGCGGAAGCGUGGGUAGCAAACAGG
RNAcentral lists this ribosomal RNA (253 nucleotides) under uncultured bacterium. Its description in RNAcentral is "partial 16S ribosomal RNA". It matches the Rfam family "Bacterial small subunit ribosomal RNA", at positions 524 to 776 of the family's 1533-position model. The record is from RNAcentral.